AAGAAACUAACAAGGAUUCCCCUAGUAACGGCGAGUGAAGAGGGAAAAGCCCAGCACCGAAUCCCACAGCCUAGCGCUGUCGGGAACUGUGGUGUAUAGGAAGCCUACUUGUCGGCGUGUUCGGGUACCCAAGUCCUCCUGAUCGUGGCCUCUCCCAUAGCGGGUGUCAGGCCCAUACAGGCACCCGACGGCGUCGGCUUGGAGCUUCCUCGGAGUCGGGUUGUUUGGGAAUG
This 233-nucleotide ribosomal RNA is filed under the name Unio mancus mancus. RNAcentral's name for it is "partial 28S ribosomal RNA". It matches the Rfam family "Eukaryotic large subunit ribosomal RNA", at positions 59 to 282 of the family's 3401-position model. Lineage: Eukaryota; Metazoa; Mollusca; Bivalvia; Unionida; Unionidae. The record is from RNAcentral.